CGGGUGAGUAACGCGUGGGUAACCUGCCCCCGAAUCUGGGAUAACCCCGCGAAAGCGGUGCUAAUACCGGAUAAGACCCCUACCGUUUCGACGGCAGAGGUAAAAGCUGACCUCUCCAUGGAAGUUAGCGUUUGGGGACGGGCCCGCGUCCUAUCAGCUUGUUGGUAGGGUAACGGCCUACCAAGGCAACGACGGGUAGCUGGUCUGAGAGGAUGAUCAGCCACACUGGAACUGGAACACGGUCCAGACUCCUACGGGAGGCAGCAGUGAGGAAUUUUGCGCAAUGGGCGAAAGCCUGACGCAGCAACGCCGCGUGGGUGAAGAAGGCUUUCGGGUCGUAAAGCCCUGUCAGGUGGGAAGAAACCUUCCGGUACUAAUAAUGCCGGAAAUUGACGGUACCACCAAAGGAAGCACCGGCCAACUCCGUGCCAGCAGCCGCGGUAAUACGGAGGGUGCAAGCGUUGUUCGGAAUUAUUGGGCGUAAAGAGCGUGUAGGCGGUUGGGAAAGUCAGAUGUGAAAGCCCUGGGCUCAACCCAGGAAGUGCAUUUGAAACUUCCCAACUUGAGUACGGGAGAGGAAGGGGGAAUUCCCGGUGUAGAGGUGAAAUUCGUAGAUAUCG
RNAcentral lists this ribosomal RNA (620 nucleotides) under uncultured bacterium. RNAcentral describes it as "bacterial SSU rRNA". It matches the Rfam family "Bacterial small subunit ribosomal RNA", at positions 103 to 699 of the family's 1533-position model. The record is from RNAcentral.